UAACGCGUAGGAAUGUACCCCAAAGUGAGGGAUAAGCACCAGAAAUGGUGUCUAAUACCGCAUGUGAUCUUCGGAUUAAAGCUUCGGCGCUAUGGGAACAGCCUGCGUAUGAUUAGCUUGUUGGUGAGGUAAUGGCUCACCAAGGCGACGAUCAUUAGCUGGUCUGAGAGGAUGAUCAGCCUGACUGGGACUGAGAACGGCCCAG
This 205-nucleotide ribosomal RNA is filed under the name uncultured bacterium. RNAcentral describes it as "partial 16S ribosomal RNA". It matches the Rfam family "Bacterial small subunit ribosomal RNA", at positions 111 to 334 of the family's 1533-position model. The record is from RNAcentral.